RNAcentral lists this transfer RNA (64 nucleotides) under Anaplecta omei. RNAcentral describes it as "tRNA-Pro". Lineage: Eukaryota; Metazoa; Arthropoda; Insecta; Blattodea; Anaplectidae. The record is from RNAcentral.
CAGAGGGUAGUUUAUGUAAAAUUUUAAUUUUGGGAAUUAGUGAAGGAUCACCCUCCCCCUCUGA